Molecule: ribosomal RNA, 194 nt
Filed under: uncultured bacterium WkA50
Lineage: Bacteria
Description: partial 16S ribosomal RNA
Source: RNAcentral
AUUACCGCGGCUGCUGGCACGUAGUUAGCCGGGGCUUUCUUCUCAGGUACCGUCACCUUGAGAGCAGUUACUCUCCCAAGCGUUCUUCCCUGGCAACAGAGCUUUACGAUCCGAAAACCUUCAUCACUCACGCGGCAUUGCUCCGUCAGGCUUUCGCCCAUUGCGGAAGAUUCCCUACUGCUGCCUCCCGUAGG